UACGUAGGGAGCAAGCGUUGUCCGGAUUUACUGGGUGUAAAGGGUGCGUAGGCGGCUAAGCAAGUCAGAUGUGAAAUCUAUGGGCUCAACCCAUAAACUGCAUUUGAAACUGCAUAGCUUGAGUGAAGUAGAGGCAGGCGGAAUUCCCCGUGUAGCGGUGAAAUGCGUAGAGAUGGGGAGGAACACCAGUGGCGAAGGCGGCCUGCUGGGCUUUAACUGACGCUGAGGCACGAAAGCGUGGGUAG
RNAcentral lists this ribosomal RNA (245 nucleotides) under uncultured Ruminococcus sp. RNAcentral describes it as "partial 16S ribosomal RNA". It matches the Rfam family "Bacterial small subunit ribosomal RNA", at positions 524 to 768 of the family's 1533-position model. The record is from RNAcentral. Lineage: Bacteria; Bacillati; Bacillota; Clostridia; Eubacteriales; Oscillospiraceae.